UGGGGAAUAUUGGGCAAUGGCCGAAAGUCUGACCCAGCAACGCCGCGUGAAGGAAGAAGGCUUUCGGGUUGUAAACUUCUUUUAAGGGGGAAGAGUAGAAGACGGUACCCCUUGAAUAAGCCACGGCUAACUACGUGCCAGCAGCCGCGGUAAUACGUAGGUGGCAAGCGUUGUGCGGAUUUACUGGGUGUAAAGGGCGUGCAGCCGGGAAGGCAAGUCAGAUGUGAAAUCUGGAGGCUCAACCUCCAAACUGCAUUUGAAACUGCUUUUCUUGAGUAUCGGAGAGGUAAUCGGAAUUCCUUGUGUAGCGGUGAAAUGCGUAGAUAUAAGGAAGAACACCAGUGGCGAAGGCGGAUUACUGGACGACAACUGACGGUGAGGCGCGAAAGCGUGGGGAGCAAACA
RNAcentral lists this ribosomal RNA (404 nucleotides) under uncultured bacterium. Its description in RNAcentral is "bacterial SSU rRNA". It matches the Rfam family "Bacterial small subunit ribosomal RNA", at positions 355 to 774 of the family's 1533-position model. The record is from RNAcentral.